GGGGGUAUAGCUCAGUGGUUAGAGCACCCGCAUACGUAUCGGAAGGUCGGGGGUUCGACUCCCGCUGCCUCCA
Molecule: transfer RNA, 73 nt
Filed under: Pristionchus pacificus
Lineage: Eukaryota; Metazoa; Nematoda; Chromadorea; Rhabditida; Neodiplogasteridae
Rfam family: tRNA
About the family: Transfer RNA (tRNA) molecules are approximately 80 nucleotides in length.
Source: Rfam by way of RNAcentral